This 381-nucleotide ribosomal RNA is filed under the name uncultured bacterium. Its description in RNAcentral is "bacterial SSU rRNA". It matches the Rfam family "Bacterial small subunit ribosomal RNA", at positions 91 to 507 of the family's 1533-position model. The record is from RNAcentral.
GCUAGUGGCAGACGGGUGAGUAACACGUGGGAACGUACCUUUUGGUUCGGAAUAAUACAGGGAAACUUGUACUAAUACCGGAUACGCCCUUUGGGGGAAAGAUUUAUCGCCGAAAGAUCGGCCCGCGUCUGAUUAGCUAGUUGGUGAGGUAAUGGCUCACCAAGGCGACGAUCAGUAGCUGGUCUGAGAGGAUGAUCAGCCACACUGGGACUGAGACACGGCCCAGACUCCUACGGGAGGCAGCAGUGGGGAAUAUUGGACAAUGGGCGAAAGCCUGAUCCAGCCAUGCCGCGUGUGUGAUGAAGGCCUUAGGGUUGUAAAGCACUUUUGUCCGGGAAGAUAAUGACUGUACCGGAAGAAUAAGCCCCGGCUAACUUCGUG